GAUGAACGCUGGCGGCGUGCCUAAUACAUGCAAGCCGAGCGAACGGACGAGAAGCUUGCUUCUCUGAUGUUAGCGGCGGACGGGUGAGUAACACGUGGAUAACCUACCUAUAAGACUGGGAUAACUUCGGGAAACCGUAGCUAAUACCGGAUAAUAUUUUGAACCGCAUGGUUCAAAAGUGAGAGACGGUCUUGCUGUCACUUAUAGAUGGAUCCGCGCUGCAUUAGCUAGUUGGUAAGGUAACGGCUUACCAAGGCAACGAUGCAUAGCCGACCUGAGAGGGUGAUCGGCCACACUGGAACUGAGACACGGUCCAGACUCCUACGGGAGGCAGCAGUAGGGAAUCUUCCGCAAUGGGCGAAAGCCUGACGGAGCAACGCCGCGUGAGUGAUGAAGGUCUUCGGAUCGUAAAACUCUGUUAUUAGGGAAGAACAUAUGUGUAAGUAACUGUGCACAUCUUGACGGUACCUAAUCAGAAAGCCACGGCUAACUACGUG
Molecule: ribosomal RNA, 497 nt
Filed under: uncultured bacterium
Lineage: Bacteria
Description: partial 16S ribosomal RNA
Rfam family: Bacterial small subunit ribosomal RNA
Source: RNAcentral